CAACAGCCAACCAGACCCUAGGCUGACCAAACGUGAGGAGGUUAAUCAAAGCUCCCCCUCAAAUUAACAAGCAUGGAAACUCCACACUAAUAUCCAUGCAUUGUACACAAAUGUCUCAACAUGACAUACACCAUCCCUACCAGUGGCACUAACUCUAUGAGUUAUACCUAUACAUACUCCAAUCACACCAAUCAGACUCCAGCUGACCAUAAGUACUAGUGAAAAAACAACACCAGUCAAUAGUAGAUAUGCAUUGCCAGAGCAUACAACCUCAACCAGCCUCUGAAUCUUCAUAUUCUCACUCCUUGAAGGAACUGCCACUUCUGAUCGUGGUGUUUGAAUAACAAGAUUCAUGGUUCCAAUCCUCUUAAAUGAAAUAGAAAUCAGGUUACCCCAUUAUUGACUUCUAACAUCCAGAGGGCUUGUCUUCCCACACAACAUAGUACUCCAGAGAACAGCUAUCCAGCCCUGAUCAAUCUACAGGAAUAGGACAAACAACAGGAAAUUGCACAAUGUCACAUCUCAACCAGCUCCACUUCUAGAGAUUAGACUUCUAAAAGUGACCUUCUUGAUCACACACACAGUUGACCCUACCCUUGUCACUUUAACACACACAGAUGUCUCCUCUUCCAGGUCAGGAGUAGGUUCCAAACAAAAGUAUCUCUUUGUUUGACGCCUAAAACCAUCUGCUCUUCAACCAGUAGGUGCAUACUUGUUGAGCAGCAUGAUCUAACAUCACAUAGAACAUUAGUUCCACCUGCUUGGAACAAAC
This 772-nucleotide long non-coding RNA is filed under the name Lathyrus oleraceus (garden pea). RNAcentral's name for it is "Pisum sativum (pea) long non-coding RNA (PSAT_LNC019217)". The record is from RNAcentral. Lineage: Eukaryota; Viridiplantae; Streptophyta; Magnoliopsida; Fabales; Fabaceae.